UACAGGAGGGUGCGAGCGUUAAUCGGAAUUACUGGGCGUAAAGCGUGCGUAGACGGCUAUCUAAGUCGGGUGUGAAAGCCCCGGGCUCAACCUGGGAAUUGCAUUCGAGACUGAAUAGCUAGGGUGCGGUAGAGGGAAGCGGAAUUUCCGGUGUAGCGGUGAAAUGCGUAGAUAUCGGAAGGAACAUCAGUGGCGAAAGCGGCUUCCAUGGACC
This 214-nucleotide ribosomal RNA is filed under the name uncultured bacterium. RNAcentral describes it as "partial 16S ribosomal RNA". It matches the Rfam family "Bacterial small subunit ribosomal RNA", at positions 524 to 735 of the family's 1533-position model. The record is from RNAcentral.